Molecule: unclassified non-coding RNA, 150 nt
Filed under: uncultured fungus
Lineage: Eukaryota; Fungi
Description: sequence contains ITS1
Source: RNAcentral
UUAAUUCUAGAUUUAAUUCAGACACAGACGGGUCGAUUGCAUAAAUACGACGCUUUUGGCGUCGAAGCACAACUUGCUUCCACAGUUUUAAAGGUUGAAGGCCCAAUGGGCCAUUCGUCAAUGAUCCCUCCGCAGGUUCACCUACGGAGA